UGGGGAAUAUUGCACAAUGGGCGGAAGCCUGAUGCAGCAACGCCGCGUGCGGGAUGACGGCCUUCGGGUUGUAAACCGCUUUCGCCUGUGACGAAGCGUGAGUGACGGUAAUGGGUAAAGAAGCACCGGCUAACUACGUGCCAGCAGCCGCGGUGAUACGUAGGGUGCGAGCGUUGUCCGGAUUUAUUGGGCGUAAAGGGCUCGUAGGUGGUUGAUCGCGUCGGAAGUGUAAUCUUGGGGCUUAACCCUGAGCGUGCUUUCGAUACGGGUUGACUUGAGGAAGGUAGGGGAGAAUGGAAUUCCUAGUGGAGCGGUGGAAUGCGCAGAUAUCAGGAGGAACACCAGUGGCGAAGGCGGUUCUCUGGGCCUUUCCUGACGCUGAGGAGCGAAAGCGUGGGGAGCGAACAGGCUUAGAUACCCUGGUAGUCCACGCUGUAAACGGUGGGUACUAGGUGUGGGGUCCAUUCCACGGGUUCCGUGCCGUAGCUAACGCUUUAAGUACCCCGCCUGGGGAGUACGGCCGCAAGGCUA
This 531-nucleotide ribosomal RNA is filed under the name uncultured bacterium. RNAcentral's name for it is "bacterial SSU rRNA". It matches the Rfam family "Bacterial small subunit ribosomal RNA", at positions 355 to 896 of the family's 1533-position model. The record is from RNAcentral.